GCUUGUUGCUCAUGUUUGUUAAACGGGUUCUUAUUGCUGCAAUUCAAUGUCAGAAUACUCGUUUUUCACUCCCGCGGCACUUCUAAUGGGGGCUACUUCACUGCCACUCACUUCAUGAACGAAUCAUAGAAGUAUCCAAGAAGCGAGAUCGCCGGAAGUGUAAUGAGUUGUUGAAUGAGAUUUAUCAAGUUCAGAUAUGUGCACCCCACAUGACUAACUUGGUAGAGAUGCUUCCUUUUCCAUUGAUAGAGGAACAGAAAAUUGAAGUUGAGCAUGGCGGCCAGGAGUUGGUGCUGAUUUGUGAUGGAGAGGGUGUGGGCCGUGUGGCCGGAGUGUGAGAAGACAUUCUCGCAAAUGAACGUUCGGGGGCAUUAUCAAUUGUGUGUUACGUCGUGCAAAAAAUUAUCAGCCGUAAAUAUCGUGUGUCGAGUACCACAUCGGUCAGUUGUAAGACCAAAGAUGAAUUUAUAUAGCAAAGCAGAGCAGAUGAUUUCGUUCUUUGGGACAUCCGACAAAAUUGGAACGAUAUAUAAAAGAUUGCCAUGGCUCCUGCCUAAGGAUGACACGUAUAAACCUAGAAAUGGUCUGAAUUAAUUUUUCUUCAAAAUCAAUCAAGGUAUGGUUCUGGGUUUUGUUUUCUCGAUCAAAAUUUUCGGUGUUUUGAGAGGUUUCUGUCCAAUUUUGAGCCCUGGUGGCACUGUGACUGGCUGCAACUCUUCAUUAUUUGGAACCCAUGGCAAGCAUAGCACCUGUUAGACGAAAUGGGUGUGAGAAUCUCGAAUCUUAUUUCUACUGAACUGGGUUUGCAUUUUAUUAGCCUUUGUUUGCUGGUGAAAGUGGAGUCGACCAACUAGUUGAAAUCAUCAAGGAAUUUCAAACCACAUAUUCACUCACCCGCCACUUCAUCACCAGAUGAUGGGUGUUAUUUUAAGGACCCUAUAGAAGAAGUCAUUGAUGCCCAUGAUGGUCAGGUUGUAAGAUGAAGAUUAAGAAGAAAGCAAAAGCUAGUUUGAUCUGCCAAGCGAAAACAACUAGCAGGAAUGCUUGGAAAGGUGAAGCAAGAUUUCUCUAAUAAUGUUCAA
Molecule: long non-coding RNA, 1082 nt
Organism: Alnus glutinosa
Lineage: Eukaryota; Viridiplantae; Streptophyta; Magnoliopsida; Fagales; Betulaceae
Exons: 4
Source: RefSeq, a predicted model, not a curated record